Molecule: ribosomal RNA, 492 nt
Filed under: uncultured bacterium
Lineage: Bacteria
Description: partial 16S ribosomal RNA
Rfam family: Bacterial small subunit ribosomal RNA
Source: RNAcentral
AGUGAACGCUGGCGGUAGGCCUAACACAUGCCAGUCGAACGGCAGCACAGUAAGAGCUUGCUCUUACGGGUGGCGAGUGGCGGACGGGUGAGGAAUACAUCGGAAUCUACUUUUUCGUGGGGGAUAACGUAGGGAAACUUACGCUAAUACCGCAUACGACCUACGGGUGAAAGCAGGGGAUCUUCGGACCUUGCGCGAUUGAAUGAGCCGAUGUCGGAUUAGCUAGUUGGCGGGGUAAAGGCCCACCAAGGCGACGAUCCGUAGCUGGUCUGCGAGGAUGAUCAGCCACACUGGAACUGAGACACGGUCCAGACUCCUACGGGAGGCAGCAGUGGGGAAUAUUGGACAAUGGGCGCAAGCCUGAUCCAGCCAUACCGCGUGGGUGAAGAAGGCCUUCGGGUUGUAAAGCCCUUUUGUUGGGAAAGAAAAGCAGCAGGUUAAUACCCCGCUGUUCUGACGGUACCCAAAGAAUAAGCACCGGCUAACUUCGUG